CUGAGAUAACCACUUAAACAUCCUCAUUAAAUUGCCUGAAGGGAGUUUGCAAGUGGUGGCUUGGAGCACUGCUAGCUGACAGGCAUUGAAGUCAUGCUUAUUGUAACACAACUCUGCUGGGCAGGAAGGAGGACAACCCAAGCCAUCUGCUGCACAUCACGAUGACGGGGAUGACCAAACGCUAGUUGAAUAGAUGAAAUAACUGAGAGGCAGCCAAGCUGUCUGGUGGUACAAGACUGUCAGAUUCACUCAAUCCCAAGACAAGGAGCUCUUUGAUAAUGGGCUACAGGAAAGGGUGAAAGAAUGGUUUAGAAAUAAUUCAAGAAAGAACAAUCUGAUUCCCACUUGGAGGAGGACGCAGGAGUGAAUCAGAUGGGGCUGUGGUGCCUGGGGAGGAGGAAAUUGAAAAUGCCCUGUAUGAUUCGAGGUACUGGGAAUACUGAGACGACACUUUAGCUCAGCAAGGUCAAACGGUUGAUACAAGUUCCCAAAACUGGUAAGUAAAUGUUUAGACUAGAAUCUUGGUUUCUUGACUCUCAGGCCAAGAGCUUUCUACUAUUAAAUAGUGUUGGCCUUUAGCUAUCAACUUCAUGGCUUAGAAUUGUUUUCCUUAGUAUGUGCCUUAUAUAAUUAUAUUGACGAUAGUAUUAUUGAAGCUGUAUUUUUUGGUAGAGACUGAGAUAGUUACCACACUAGUAGUGAAUUUACAAGCUAAUGACUUACUGAUAACUGAAAGAUAUUUGGAAAUAAUUAGGAUCUUGCCAUGAAGUUUAUAACAGCUUUUGCCCAUAGUAAAAUGGUAAUAUAGGCUAUUAUUUAAGAUUAUUCUAUUUUAUCUAAUGAAUUAACCACAGAUUCAAAUAUCCCAUUAGUAGCUUUAACUUUUGCACCUUUUGAAUAAGAUGAAUAUAGAAAAAUUAUUUUAUUACUUUUUUUCAUUCAUCUAUUUCCUCAACAACUACUCUGUACCCUGUACUAAUCUAGAGACUAAAGAUACCAUUGUAAACAGUAUAGAAGAGUGUCCUCUCAUGGAACUUAUACUCUAGUCAGGGGAAGCAGACAAUAAACACAUGAGUGAAUUAAUAAAUAAUGAAAAGGGUAAUUUUAGGGUAGUCCCCAAACACUUUAAAAUUGGGAAAUCAGGCAAUCAGUGAUUUGUCAGUCUAAUAAAUAAUAAUGGUAUAACUAAAAUCAGAAGUGUUAAUCACACUUUAAGUGAUUAGCCCAUUUAAACAACUUAUUUUUUCCAAGCCUCAGUUCUCUAGCCUUACUACCCACCAAUAAAUGAGUUAAUAGGUUACAUAAAUUAAAAUGUAAUUAUGCACAUAGUGUUAUUAAACAGUGGGGUUAAAUUAAUAUGUGGCAAAAAGAAUGCUAAAAUUACUUUACCUAAGAGGUAUGAUGUGGUGUCUCAGGUUAGUUUUAAAUUUUAACUUGUCUCUUUCUACAACAUUAUAGAUUUUCCCAGACGUAGGAAAAUUGGUUCCUGGGAUAAUCUUUAUUUGUUUAUUUUUCAUUUGCUUCUCUAUAGAAAGUCUCUUACCUACAAAAGGUUUUGUUCCCAAAGUUAAUUUGUACACCAUUCUGAACUCGUUUACCAUAGAAGCGGUGCUUAGCAUAGUUGUUAGGUUCAAAUGUUGGUUUACAGAAGUUUAUUUCACUGUUCUUGAAGCUGAAAAGUUGCACUUAAUGGUGCUCCCUUGAGUUCUGGCCCAAUUUGGUUGCAAGGAGUAAACAAAAGAGGUACAUUUUUCUCUUUCUCUGAGCACAGACCUGGAUCCAGUCCAUCCUGGGAAGCAGAUGAGAUUUCCUCAUGGCCCCCUCUGGUCUUCCCUCUCACACCCCUGCCUGCUCAUGGCACUGUUCUCUUUAGGCGUCAGGACAGAUUUUUUUUUUUUUCUUUUUCUAGUAAGAGCUAUGUGUCCUCUAUUUACUUUUUUCCAUCUUAUUGGAAGAAUACCAAAGUUGAUAAUUGAGUAAACAAUAUGGAUAUUUGAUUUUUCUAAAUGCCAAAUAGAUGUAUCACAGUGUCAAAAUGAUUUCCUUCAUCUUUUGUUCAAGUAUCUGUUUUUAGGGGCCAAGAACUUCCUCAGAGUUACCUUCUUUUGCUUCUGAACAAUACCCUCUUCUCGGUUAGAGCUGUCACGGACUGGCCCUCAGAUGUUCACAGAAUAUUCUUGCUUCUAACUUUGAGAUGGUACAUGGAGUUAAAAUCUAUGUGAUUUAACCCAAGGCAAGCUUAGUCCUGUUAAAAGAGAAAAAAAAAAAAAAAAGGCUGAAAAAGUAUAGCAGUGUUAAUUGAUUAGUUUGGGUUCACCCUGCUGUUGGCAUUUACUUUAUUCUCUAUAUUGUCCUUGUAUACUUUGUUGUCACUUUAGAGAAAUCUGCUAUAUGAAUUCCCAGCAUAAGCAAAAAGCAAACGGAAGCAGUGAGUUUGUCCCACACCACUGUCAAGACAGUGCAUAGGUCUGCAGCCUGCCAAAAAUAGAUGUGGUUUAUAGUAUGUUCAACUCCAUUGCUCAUAUUUUUUCAUUUCCUCUUCCCAGCUGAGUAAAUGGAGGGGGGAAGAGAAAAAAAUUACUGCCAUAAAAAGUACAUUUUCCCCUCUGUGUUCGAUUAUGGAGGGACAUCUAUAAACGUGGGCAUAAAGCCCAGAGGAAAGGAGAUAUUUCCGAAAUGUUGUCUGAUAGUCACUUUAGUUUCCAAAUAAAUAUAAUUUGAAAAUACAUUGAGGACAUCUAAGCAGAAAUAUUGACAUAUGGCAUGUAAUAUUUGGCUGAGUUUGUGGAUGAGAAAUGAGCCUGCGUCAAGGAGCUUUGCUGGUAAUUGUAUAACCCAGGAAGGGACUGACAAUCCGUCAUGAAACACAGAAAUUUAGGAAGCUGUGGAACCUUAAUGAUCAUGUAGAAGAAUUUAUCUGGUAAUUAAAACACUGAAAUAAAACUACUGUAAAAUAUGAACAAAAUUAAUGUGAUCAUUUAGAAAUAGCUGAACUAUUCAGUUUCAGCUUUUGCAAUUUCCAAAAGGUGCUAUUUGCUGGGCUCCAGGGUGCCAUGGCAAAAACAGGACCUUUCUUUGGUCAGUACCUACAAUUGAAAUCUCAUCUCCAGGCUGGCUGCUUAGGGUGUGGCAUUUGUUUGUUCAUUGUGAUGUUACCGUCAAAGCAUAUGUCACAUAUGCUUAAGUAUGUUUAAUAUUAUAAGGCACAUAUACUUAAUGUGGAGAGCAGCAUUUGCAGCAAUACAUGCUCGAAGUAGUAUUUACUUGAAAAACCAGUUCCGAGGAGAUAGCAUGGUUUAUUAGAUGCCCAUUAGAUUGGAAUUUGGAAACUUAAUUUUCGUUUCUACUUUUGCCAUCUGGCUUUAUGAGUUUAGAUGAGUGACAUUCAUUUUCAGAUUUCUUUGUGUCGAUCUCUAAAAUGGGAAGGCUAUCUAGUUGAUUUCUAGGGUUAUUUUAUAAAUAUCCAAUAAAUUCCAUUGAACAAUUAUCUCUAAGGAACUCUUUUUUUAAUGCCAAGGGAAUUGGCUAAAAUAUAUACAAAAUAAUAUAAAAAGUAAAGAAAAAUAUUGGAAUCAUUGUUUUGUACUUAUGUUUAGCUGAUCCUGUGAUACCUGUGGAUGUUUUUGUGUUUAUGAUUUUGUGGUCAGGAAGAAAGAUGCCACCCUUCUACUGAAGGCAGAUUAGUGAUAGUUCUCUGAGGGGCCAUCAUCAUUUAGUAGCUCUGUAGCCAACUACACCACCAAAAACAAGAUGGCACAUUCCAAUGAAGAAAAUAAAGAGAGCCUAAUGAGCUGGUUAGAGCUCAAAGGGCUAGUUAGAAACUAUAGUCAGUGUUCAGGGUAACCCAUAAGGAAUGGCAAAGAUUCCUUUGGGACCAGUAAGAGCAGGGAGAUCUUAGCACCUUUAGGCCUGCAGGAGCAAAGGGAACAGCAGAUAUUGGAAUCUGUAAAGAGAUCACUAGCUUGUUUGUAGCUAUGGGAGAGGGUCUCCAACCAGAGCUCUGGGCUUUAGUGUAGAAGCUUGGCCACUUUCCAGUAGGAAGGGAAUCAGAAGAGAGAAUAAAUAUAUGAAUCUCUUUCUCUCCUGACUCUGUGAUCUUU
Molecule: non-coding RNA, 4100 nt
Organism: Chlorocebus sabaeus (green monkey)
Lineage: Eukaryota; Metazoa; Chordata; Mammalia; Primates; Cercopithecidae
Source: RefSeq, a predicted model, not a curated record